GUUCACGCCGUAACGAUGUCAACUAGCCGUUGGUCCUAUUUACAGGAUUAGUGGCGCAGCUAACGCAUUAAGUUGACCGCCUGGGGAGUACGGCCGCAAGGUUAAACUCAAAUGAAUUGACGGGGCCCGCACAAGCGGUGGAGCAUGUGGUUUAAUUCGAUGCAACGCGAAGAACCUUACCUACCCUUGACAUCCAGAGAAUCUGUUAGAGAUAGUGGAGUGCCUUCGGGAACUCUGAGACAGGUGCUGCAUGGCUGUCGU
This 261-nucleotide ribosomal RNA is filed under the name uncultured bacterium. RNAcentral's name for it is "partial 16S ribosomal RNA". It matches the Rfam family "Bacterial small subunit ribosomal RNA", at positions 793 to 1055 of the family's 1533-position model. The record is from RNAcentral.